This 293-nucleotide ribosomal RNA is filed under the name uncultured bacterium. RNAcentral describes it as "partial 16S ribosomal RNA". It matches the Rfam family "Archaeal small subunit ribosomal RNA", at positions 455 to 747 of the family's 1478-position model. The record is from RNAcentral.
GUGCCAGCCGCCGCGGUAAUACCGGCAGCCCGAGUGAUGACCGAUCUUAUUGGGCCUAAAGCGUCCGUAGCUGGCCGCGCAAGUCCAUCGGAAAAUCCACCCGCCCACCGAGUGGGCGUCCGACGGAAACUGCACAGCUUGGGACCGGAAGGCUCGAAGGGUACGCUCGGGGUAGGAGUGAAAUCCCAUAAUCCCGCACGGACCACCGAUGGCGAAAGCACUUCGAGAAAACGGAUCCGACAGUGAGGGACGAAAGCCAGGGUCUCCAACCGGAUUAGAAACCCCUGUAGUCC